This 3645-nucleotide long non-coding RNA is filed under the name Gallus gallus (chicken). Its description in RNAcentral is "lncRNA (ENSGALG00010014723.1)". Lineage: Eukaryota; Metazoa; Chordata; Aves; Galliformes; Phasianidae. The record is from RNAcentral.
UAUGUAAGCCACUGUGCAGUGCUUUUUCUCUCUGACUGAACUGAGUAAAGGGUCUCCAAGUACUCAGACUCCUUGAUGCACUGAUGGUGCUAAAAGCACCAUGGGUUUCGUAUGGAGUCACAGUUCUUGGGGGUGUUCAAGAACUGUGGAGAUGUGGCACUGAGGGCCAUGGUCAGUGGGGGUAGAUUGGAACUGGUCCAACCUUAAUGACUCUGGGAUUCUAUAUUGCAAAAUGUGAGCUCUUACUUAAAAGCUGGAUUCCCCCAGAUUGCUGCUUCUGCUUAGUGCUUUUCUUCCUACUUAUCCUGGGCACCAAGAAACCCCAAUAUCCAGUUCAGUGUCACUUCUGCUGCUCUGCGUGGGGGCUGGUGGAGGACUGCACCCUGAGAGCAGACUUAUUUGGGAGCUUGUUGAAUCAGGGAAGAAUGCUGGCUUUAUGAAAAGGAGCUCUAAAGGACUCGGGAAGCAGUAUAAGCUCUGUUUCCAGUUGAGUAGAUUGAGUUACACUUUGGGCUGCAGAGGGAGUAAAAUCUUCUGCCACUGGUCUAGAUGUAUGUCCACAUGGGGUGGGCCUGCCUUCUGCCUAGGGAUGAGCUGUGGUGCUGGAGCUCUUUGGUCUCUGCUCCACCCAUUUGUGGGAUGGCAGUGGUGCAGCCUCUGAGGGCUGCUUGGGGAGCAAUGUGUUUUGCAUAUAGAGCACCUGGGAGCACUAAAUGAUGACUUACAUUGGGCUUUAUGAAAGUAAAGACUCAUUUUUGUCUUGGAUAUGACUCAACAAAUGGAAGCGAUCAUCUCCUAGCUCUCUGGAAGGGGAAUUGGAGCAUGGGAGCUGGGUUGUCGCGGCACAGCAUCCAUAGUCCUGCAUCCAUCCCAUCCAUAGGAGCUGAGAUGACAACAGGCAGGUUCCUGCUGCAGCUCACUUGCUGGAGGAGCAGAACCUUUGCUAAAGAUGAGGUGCUGGAUGCUCAGCGCUUUUCCCUUUCCUAUGGCUGAAUGUCGGCUGAUGCUGUUUGCUAAACAAGAGUGCCGGUGGCAGAGGAAUUAGAAGAAAUCCCUUCUUAAUUGGAAACAGGACAAAUCCAGGCAAACGGGUGCUGAGCCAGCAACAGCAUGGGACCAGCUCGCCUUCUGUGGGUAUCAUUGAAAUUCAGCAUCCUUCACUGCCUCCAACAUUGAGGUCCUGCAGGUAUGACUUUGCUUCAUGUGGAUCUCCAAAGUUGCUAAAGAUGCUAAUGAACCUCUACUGUAAGGUCUGAAAUCAUCCAGGAUGACAGCAGAUCUUUCCCAAAGGCUGCCCAGGUCAGGAAGGGGGGGAACUGCAGAGGCAAAGCAGGAGGAAGUAAGAAGGAUGCUUGUCCCAGUGCCCUACUCAACUACCUUCUCUGGCGUGGCUUUGAGGGGGGCCCAGAGGUGGAAGGAGUGGAAAUCUGGCUCCAGGUGGCAGUCCUGAUUUGCAUGUCCACUCUUUGGAGCUCCCAAGCACCUCCUUAGGCAGUUGACCUGAUCACAGGUAGUGGGGUACUGAGCCACGUUGGAGCCUUGCUAUUGUAGCUGCAGCGUACUCUGGGGAGAAAAAUAUGGAAGGGGGAGGCUUGUAUCUCCUUGGAAAAAGCUGGGGUGUGCAUUUGGCUUUCUCCUGAGUCUUCUUGUUUUGCCUCUGAGCUGCCCCCUCCUCAUGCAUUCCUGCACAAACCCCCUUUGUUUGCUGCCCUCAGUCAGGAUCCAGGCAGCAACAGCCCAGAUGUUCCCUAUCAAACUCAGAGCCAUGCCAACAAACUUUGGCACACAUGAAAGUGUGCUGAGGAAUGGGCCUCUGCAAAUACCAUUCUUUCCCCCCUUCCCAUUCCUGCAAGUAUUUUUAAAUGUUAAUGGCUUCCAUGCCGCAACAGCCCAUGGGGGACUGCAAAUUAAUGGUGAGGGGCAAAUCUGUCCCAACUUUGAAACCCUGGCCCUCGUUCCUGCAGUGUGGUUUUCCCGUGGGUGAUGGUGCAUGGAGGGAGCAGACACAGCUCAGCCUGUAGAGGAGAAAUCCCAGUAAAACUGGAUGAUUGUGUGAGUCCAAUGGAUAGUCUCUGCCCAUUGGUGCUGUUGUUCCUUUCCCACCUCCCCACACUGACAGGCUAAGGAGGUGAUGAAUGAGGGUGGUGAACCCCUCACCCUUGAUCAGAGAUGAUCUCCUUGAGGAAUGCAUCCAGGUUUCCAUCCUGGAACAGGACCCUUCUCUUUUUGCACAUGAAGGGAUGGUGCAAGCCGUAGGUCCUUGUCUCAGACAUGGGCUUGGAGAUAAAUGGAACUUGAAGGAAAGGCGAAGGUAAAGAGGCAAGAAAAGAAAAAAUGGUCUGAGCUGAUGAAAGCUGCUUUCUUGCUCUGGAGAUGGAGAAUGGGGAGGUGACAUGGUUAUUCACAGUAGGUUUGCAGGGACUGCUUCUAGAAAGCAGGAGCUGAGCACCAGCUCUUGGUUCCCUUCAUUAAGGAGGGAAGGCAGCACACUAAAUUUGCCAGUAAAAUAGUAAUAAUAAUAAUAAAAAAAAAUCCAUAGCUCUUAAACUAUCCUGUUUAAAAAUAAUAAAAAUUAAGAGGUACUUGCCAUUUCACGUCGUCUGGUUUAGCUGCAGGGAGCAACAUGGCCCUGAGAGCUAACCUGCUGGAGCAGAUCCCCACUGUGUUCAAAGGCAGUGGGGAGACCUGAGUUUGCUUUCAGGCUGGGGCUGCUGAGGGUUUUGAAGCCCUGAGCAGGUUUUCAAAGAUCUUUUUUUUUUUCAUGGCCAAGCAGUCUGGGGGAAAAAUAUAUGGCUGAAUUGGCAUGAAGGGAAGGAUCCAGAUGCUCCCUGGGUUACACUGUGGCCUCUGCAGAAAGGCUGCAGUCUUGGGCUUCCUAUAAAACCUGGAGGAGAAAGGUCCUGUCUGUGAGCACAGACAGUCUGCUUCCCUAAGCGAGGCCGAUUCCAACAGUUGAUCUUCAUUUAAUGCUCCCAAGCCAGAUGAAAAAAUGCAGACAAUCUUAGUGUGUAUGUAAGGGGGUUUCUAGUUGCUGGUGCACAGGUGUUGCUACACAGAUGAUGUGGAAGUACCCUGAUGUAUGCUGGCUAAAUAACCCUGCUUUUCCAAGGUUAUCGUGUUGGAUUAAAAGGUAAUGCUGGCUUGGUCUCAGCUGCAAAGCUCGGGGUAUCAGUUUUGUCCUCUUCAACCCAUCUUCAGUCUGUUUGGGAGCACAUUGCUACACUGAGCACGCAGACAGGAAUUGCGGAGCCUUUCCUCCUGCUAGGAGAGGAAUCUGGAAACGAUUACAAGCUGCUCAUGCUUAAUCAUUGGGUGAAUCUUAAAUGCCUGGCUUAAUAUUUUGCAGGACUGAAGAUGGCAUCUGAAUUUUUGUGGUGUGCAGGUUACAUGGCAGAGCAUGUGGGCCUGGAUGGUUUUGUUGUGUGUGUUUGAGGAGCAGCUGGUCCUGAGGACCCCAUGCUUCCUCUGAAGUCUAGGUACAAUUUCAAAGGAAACCCAAAAUGCAAAGGGGAGGGGGGUGGAAAAUGGAACUGUUUUGUCUGGUAUUUGUGCAAACUGGCAGCUCCGCCAUGUUCUCGUGAGCCUUACUGAGUCUGGUCAUUUCUACUUCAAACUGAAUUAGAGAGUGUUACAUGAGUUAAAAAA